UUAAUUGAAGCCAAAAUUGAGGCAUAUUACUGUUAAUAAUAUAAUUGAACUUUCUGUUCCAAUUAAG
RNAcentral lists this transfer RNA (67 nucleotides) under Ceracris versicolor. RNAcentral's name for it is "tRNA-Asn". The record is from RNAcentral. Lineage: Eukaryota; Metazoa; Arthropoda; Insecta; Orthoptera; Acrididae.